RNAcentral lists this ribosomal RNA (513 nucleotides) under uncultured bacterium. Its description in RNAcentral is "partial 16S ribosomal RNA". It matches the Rfam family "Bacterial small subunit ribosomal RNA", at positions 28 to 523 of the family's 1533-position model. The record is from RNAcentral.
GACGAACGCUGGCGGCGUGCCUAAUACAUGCAAGUAGAACGCUGAAGACUUUAGCUUGCUAAAAUUGGAAGAGUUGCGAACGGGUGAGUAACGCGUAGGUAACCUGCCUACUAGCGGGGGAAAACUAUUGGAAACGAUAGCAAAUAACGUAUAACAGCCAUUAACCCAUGUUAGAUGCUUGAAAGGAGCAAUUGCUUGACUAGUGGAUGGAACUGGGUUGUAUUAGCUAGUUGGUGAGGUAACGGCUCACCAAGGCGACGAUACAUAGCCGACCUGAGAGGGUGAUCGGCCACACUGGGACUGAGACACGGCCCAGACUCCUACGGGAGGCAGCAGUAGGGAAUCUUCGGCAAUGGGGGCAACCCUGACCGAGCAACGCCGCGUGAGUGAAGAAGGUUUUCGGAUCGUAAAGCUCUGUUGUAAGAGAAGAACGUGUGUGAGAGUGGAAAGUUCACACAGUGACGGUAACUUACCAGAAAGGGACGGCUAACUACGUGCCAGCAGCCGCAGUAA